Molecule: ribosomal RNA, 253 nt
Filed under: uncultured bacterium
Lineage: Bacteria
Also listed under: 1 other name
Description: partial 16S ribosomal RNA
Rfam family: Bacterial small subunit ribosomal RNA
Source: RNAcentral
UACGUAGGGUGCGAGCGUUAAUCGGAAUUACUGGGCGUAAAGCGUGCGCAGGCGGUUCGUUGUGUCGGUGGUGAAAUCCCCGGGCUUAACCUGGGAAUGGCCAUGGAAACUGGCGAACUGGAGUGCGGCAGAGGGGGGUGGAAUUCCGCGUGUAGCAGUGAAAUGCGUAGAGAUGCGGAGGAACACCGAUGGCGAAGGCAGCCCCCUGGGCUAGCACUGACGCUCAGGCACGAAAGCGUGGGGAGCAAACAGG